This 253-nucleotide ribosomal RNA is filed under the name uncultured bacterium. Its description in RNAcentral is "partial 16S ribosomal RNA". It matches the Rfam family "Bacterial small subunit ribosomal RNA", at positions 524 to 776 of the family's 1533-position model. The record is from RNAcentral.
UACGGGGGGGGCAAGCGUUGUUCGGAAUUACUGGGCGUAAAGGGCUCGUAGGCGGCCAACUAAGUCGGAUGUGAAAUCCCCAGGCUCAACUUGGGAACUGCAUCCGAUACUGGAUGGCUUGAAUUCGGGAGAGGGAUGCAGAAUUCCAGGUGUAGCGGUGAAAUGCGUAGAUAUCUGGAGGAAUGCCGGUGGCGAAGGCGGCAUCCUGGACCGACAUUGACGCUGAGGAGCGAAAGCUAGGGGAGCAAACGGG